GCUGUGAGAGGCCGAGCAAAGGAAGGCUGUGAUAAUAGGGAUGCGGGCAAGGAGGGAAGCAUAAAACGGAUCCAGCCUUUUGUACAGGAGGCCAAGAUGGUGUGCGUUGUGCUCUCUCCUCCUAUUUCUCCCCAGAACAGUAACCUUGUGAGGUGAGCAGGAGCUGGGACUAGCAACGGGAGCUCACCCCG
Long non-coding RNA from Candoia aspera, 191 nucleotides. RefSeq lists it as uncharacterized. The transcript is spliced from 3 exons. NCBI's taxonomy places the organism in Eukaryota, Metazoa, Chordata, Lepidosauria, Squamata, Candoiidae. The record is from RefSeq and is a predicted model, not a curated record.